This 523-nucleotide ribosomal RNA is filed under the name uncultured bacterium. Its description in RNAcentral is "bacterial SSU rRNA". It matches the Rfam family "Bacterial small subunit ribosomal RNA", at positions 8 to 525 of the family's 1533-position model. The record is from RNAcentral.
AGAGUUUGAUCCUGGCUCAGAUUGAACGCUGGCGGCAGGCUUAACACAUGCAAGUCGAGCGGGGAGAUGUAGCUUGCUACAUUUCCUAGCGGCGGACGGGUGAGUAAUGCUUAGGAAUCUGCCUAUUAGUGGGGGACAACAUUCCGAAAGGAAUGCUAAUACCGCAUACGCCCUACGGGGGAAAGCAGGGGAUCUUCGGACCUUGCGCUAAUAGAUGAGCCUAAGUCAGAUUAGCUAGUUGGUGGGGUAAAGGCCUACCAAGGCGACGAUCUGUAGCGGGUCUGAGAGGAUGAUCCGCCACACUGGGACUGAGACACGGCCCAGACUCCUACGGGAGGCAGCAGUGGGGAAUAUUGGACAAUGGGCGCAAGCCUGAUCCAGCCAUGCCGCGUGUGUGAAGAAGGCCUUUUGGCUGUAAAGCACUUUAAGCGAGGAGGAGGCUACUUGGAUUAAUACUCUAGGAUAGUGGACGUUACUCGCAGAAUAAGCACCGGCUAACUCUGUGCCAGCAGCCGCGGUAAUA